CCUCGAGUCAAACUCCCACAACGCUGGUGACAUUCUGCUCGCCCUCUCCUCCUUCGGCUCUUCCACUCCCUCACUCUACUCGUGCGCUGCCGUGUCUCCCCUUCCUCCAUGACCUCCAAGCCACCGGAAAGGAGGGUGACAUCGACGGCUUCCGGCGAGCCUCCUUCCUCCCUUCCUCCCUCCCUCCAUCCCUCCCUCUUUCAUGACC
RNAcentral lists this long non-coding RNA (208 nucleotides) under Sorghum bicolor (sorghum). RNAcentral's name for it is "long non-coding RNA (SBIC_LNC017060)". Lineage: Eukaryota; Viridiplantae; Streptophyta; Magnoliopsida; Poales; Poaceae. The record is from RNAcentral.